This 590-nucleotide ribosomal RNA is filed under the name uncultured Colletotrichum. Its description in RNAcentral is "eukaryotic LSU rRNA". The stretch from base 207 to 360 matches the Rfam family "5.8S ribosomal RNA". Lineage: Eukaryota; Fungi; Ascomycota; Sordariomycetes; Glomerellales; Plectosphaerellaceae. The record is from RNAcentral.
GGUCUCCGACGGUGUCCAAGCGGAGAGAUCAUUUAUUUGUUUACGCUCUACAACCCUUUGUGAACAUACCUACAACUGUUGCUUCGGCGGGUAGGGUCUCCGCGACCCUCCCGGCCUCCCGCCUCCGGGCGGGUCGGCGCCCGCCGGAGGAUAACCAAACUCUGAUUUAACGACGUUUCUUCUGAGUGGUACAAGCAAAUAAUCAAAACUUUUAACAACGGAUCUCUUGGUUCUGGCAUCGAUGAAGAACGCAGCGAAAUGCGAUAAGUAAUGUGAAUUGCAGAAUUCAGUGAAUCAUCGAAUCUUUGAACGCACAUUGCGCCCGCCAGCAUUCUGGCGGGCAUGCCUGUUCGAGCGUCAUUUCAACCCUCAAGCUCUGCUUGGUGUUGGGGCCCUACAGCCGAUGUAGGCCCUCAAAGGUAGUGGCGGACCCUCCCGGAGCCUCCUUUGCGUAGUAACUUUACGUCUCGCACUGGGAUCCGGAGGGACUCUUGCCGUAAAACCCCCCAUUUUUCAAAUGUUGACCUCUGAUUAUGCAGGAAUACUCGCUGAACUCAAUAAUAUCAAUAACUGUAGGAAUCUUUUCCUUU